UUGACAUUGAUAAAUUUUAAUCAUAAAUUAUAUACUUCAGAGCCUUUUGUAUUAGCAAAUCAAAUGGAGCAAGUAUGGUAUACAAAAGAUUCAAAAGAAAGUAGAUGGCAUGUAGUUAGAAAGACAAAGCCAAGGGAUUACUUUGACAUAAACGAGGACUUUAAUGAUACUGAUGAGGGGUUGGAAAUUGAGCAACAAAUAGAUCUCCAUACUAGCAAUUAUGAUAAUGAGAUUGAUGU
Molecule: long non-coding RNA, 239 nt
Filed under: Elaeis guineensis (African oil palm)
Lineage: Eukaryota; Viridiplantae; Streptophyta; Magnoliopsida; Arecales; Arecaceae
Description: long non-coding RNA (EGUI_LNC045831)
Source: RNAcentral